This 497-nucleotide ribosomal RNA is filed under the name uncultured bacterium. Its description in RNAcentral is "partial 16S ribosomal RNA". It matches the Rfam family "Bacterial small subunit ribosomal RNA", at positions 28 to 507 of the family's 1533-position model. The record is from RNAcentral.
GACGAACGCUGGCGGCGUGCCUAAUACAUGCAAGUUGAGCGCUGAAGGUUGGUACUUGUACCGACUGGAUGAGCAGCGAACGGGUGAGUAACGCGUGGGGAAUCUGCCUUUGAGCGGGGGACAACAUUUGGAAACGAAUGCUAAUACCGCAUAAAAACUUUAAACACAAGUUUUAAGUUUGAAAGAUGCAAUUGCAUCACUCAAAGAUGAUCCCGCGUUGUAUUAGCUAGUUGGUGAGGUAAAGGCUCACCAAGGCGAUGAUACAUAGCCGACCUGAGAGGGUGAUCGGCCCCCUUGGGACUGAGACACGGCCCAAACUCCUACGGGAGGCAGCAGUAGGGAAUCUUCGGCAAUGGACGAAAGUCUGACCGAGCAACGCCGCGUGAGUGAAGAAGGUUUUCGGAUCGUAAAACUCUGUUGGUAGAGAAGAACGUUGGUGAGAGUGGAAAGCUCAUCAAGUGACGGUAACUACCCAGAAAGGGACGGCUAACUACGUG